RNAcentral lists this small RNA (96 nucleotides) under Pongo abelii (Sumatran orangutan). RNAcentral's name for it is "processed transcript". Lineage: Eukaryota; Metazoa; Chordata; Mammalia; Primates; Hominidae. The record is from RNAcentral.
GCUGAGCCCAGCGCUGACACUCACAGGAGCUGCGUUCGCCGGAUCCUCUGAGAGGCUCUGCAACGAUCCCGAUCCAAUUCAGCAGCGUUUUAAAAG